Molecule: long non-coding RNA, 3526 nt
Filed under: Homo sapiens (human)
Lineage: Eukaryota; Metazoa; Chordata; Mammalia; Primates; Hominidae
Description: HSALNT0104931
Source: RNAcentral
CCACACGUGUAUUCCAGCACUUUGGGAAGCCGAGGCAGGCAGAUCACAUGAGGUCAGGAGUUCGAGACCAGCCUGGCCAACAUGGUGAAACUCCUUCUCUACUAAAAAUACAAAAAAAAAAUUAGCCGGGUGUGGUGGUGUGCGACUGUAAUCCCUGCUAAUGGGGAGGCGGAGGUUGCAGUGAGAGGAGAUCGCACCACUGCACUGCAGCCUGGGCGACAAAGCAAGACUCCAUCUCAAAACAAACAAACAAACAAACAAACAAACAAAAAACAGACGAAAUAGGGUUUGAGUAUGUAGUCUGCUCUCAACAUGAGAUAGUAAAGUCUUUGCUUCCCUUAUAUUCUGUUAAUUAACUCAUUUGAUGCACAUCGAUGUAUAAAGCCUUUAACUUCUAUUUAUUCUUUUCCUUGAAAAGCAUGCGGAAUGCCUUCUCAGGACUCUCCCAUUUUUUAUUUGUGAACACCCACUGGCAUUCCCGGAUACGAAGCUUGCAAGAAGGUGUGAACCGCCCUAUACUCGUGAGCCCCUGGGGCUCUGUACUCUUUCCAGCCCACAUUUGACCUCAGUCAAUUUUUAAAUGAUUCCAGCUAAAUUCUUCUUACCAGUGCCCAGCUGUACCUGCCUUAGGUAAUCCUCUUACUCUGGGCUAUGAACUUGCUACUGCCAAGAUGGAUGCCAUGAAAAAAAGAGAUCUCAUCAAAAUGGUCACAGAGAGAUGGAGGGCCUCUGUGUAGAUGGCAGGGUGGUGGUGGCCGUGUAACUAGCUGCCCGGUGAGGAGCAGCCCUUGGGGAGAGCCCAGGUAGGACCAGGAGAAGCAGAAAUAGAGAAAAGUGAAAGAUCGAGGUGGAAAGAACAUGAGGGACAAGAGCUCUGCAUGGCCACAUCACCAGCAGUCUUGUUAUUACAAUGAGGAUGAAGGGACUGAAAAGAGGGGAAGAGAUGGAAUUCAUCAAACAACAGUGCUCAUUCAUACAAGAUACAAGAUUAAGCCUUGGGUCUCCCUGGCAGUGGAGGGCGAUUCUGAUAUUCACAUAUAACUACCCACAGGGCAUGGAUUCUGAGAGAUGCUGAUAAAAGAAGUUGGUGUCUUCUUGGCAUUUGUCCCCAAGGAUCUUCCAAUACCCAGAGAAUCUGCAUUUACACAGAUCAUGCUCCCUUGGGAGCUUCUCUUGACUGCCCCCCACACCCUCAUUCGUGGCUUUUCCUCUUUGAUCUCCCACUUCAGUCCUCACACCUGUCAACACUGUGCUUAUUACCAUGUGGAGUGGUUAGAAGAUCUUCCCAGAGUCAAGACAUUUCCAGGGUCACCCUUCUCUUAGGCAUUUCUUGGCACGACUGUCCUGAAUAAAGGAAAGGAGAUGAAGGUGAUGUUGAGAAGCAUCUAGAGGGCUGGAGUCAGGGGGAACCGGCUGAGGCUGUUGGAUCAAGUUUUAGCCACUGGUAAAAGACCUCCAAGCUGCGAAUGCUAUUGCCAUCUGUGUAAAGUCGCCUCCGAGAUUAGAACAUGCCAAAGACUGAAGAAAGAGGUCUAGGUAGCAUAAAGCCAUCAUGUAAUUGAAGUUUCUUCCGUUUCCAAGGACAGGAAGCGUGCAAAUGGCUCUGCGUUCUCAGUAGGGGUGGGGCUAAGAAGUGAGCCUGCAAAUGGUAGUUUGGGCGAAGACUUGUGUGAUGCAUGCAGGGACUCAAAUUUAGUGUCCUCUGAACACAAACACCCUCUAUGAUCCGGGUUAGGUAUCGCUCCUGUGAACGUUCAAAGAACACCUUUAUAUUCUGAGGGGACACCGUUCAUCAUCAGAUCACUGUUGACGGAAGCCAGGUGACAGCUUUGUAUUUCGUGUUUUCCCCUUUAGUAAUGUAAAAAUAGAAGUUAUUUCUCCUUUCUUCCAAUGUAGGAUUUUUUUUUUUGAGAGGGUCUCUGUCACCCAGGCUGGAGUGCAGUGACACAAACACAGCUCACUACAUCCUUGACCUCUUGGGUUCAGAUGGUCCUCCCGCCUCAGCCUCCUUAGUAGCUGGGACGACAGGCACAUUCCACCGGCCCGGCUAAUUUCUUUUUAAAGUUUUUGUAGAGAUAGGGCUCUCACUAUGUUGCCCAGACUGGUCUUGAACUCCUGAGCUCAAGCGAUUCUCUCACCUUGGCCUCCCAGAGUGUUGGGAUUACAAGCGCGAGCCACCACACCCAGCCCAGUGUAGGAAUGUUUAAUUCCUCCACUUGCUAUCAAAGAAAACUGCUAACUUUCUUAUUUCCUAAUUUCUCUUUUUCUAUUUGCUUCUCCUUAGGUUCUGCUCUUGGGUGCUAUCUCCUUAGUUUUGAGAAUAUGAAGGUUUGUUUAGAAAAAAAAAAGCAGAAAAAAUUCACUGGAAGAUUUCACAUUUGUAUAUAUCUUUAUGAAAUGUGACAGUGAAGUGUUAGGGUAGAGAUAUUUGAUCUGAUUACCAUUAGGAUAAAAUCAAAUCUCCUUACCAUGUCUUACAUGUGUACUUGUCCAAUCUUGUCUCCUAUAAUUGUCCAACCAACCCGUUCUGUUCCAGCCUCACUGGCCUUCUUAUUCUUUCACGAAGCUCACACUGUCCUCCAGAGCCUUGCACUCUCUUUUGCCUGGAAUGCUCUCCCAGAUCUUAACAUGAUAGGAAAACAAAAGACAACUGUUUGUCAUGUCUACUACAGUCUCAGCCCCAUGAGGCAGAGUCCAUGCCCAUUUUCCUUCCAUGCAACAUUCCUGGCACCUAGAGAGUGACUGAUGCAUAAUGGCUGGUAAAAUAUUUGAUUAAAAAAUAUUUUAGUGUAUUUCCUCCCCCAAAAUAUACAUACACAACAGAGGCAGUUAUUUUGUCUAUAUCUUUAGCACAUUUUAGGCAUUUAGUAAAUUUCUGUUGAAUCCAUAUGGAAUUCUUCAGAUUGAUCUGUGAACACUUUAGAUUUGAAAAAGGAGAAAAUCAUAAAACUAAGGGUAAUGGGGAGAGAGCAAAACCAAAGGCAGACAUGGGAAGAUUCUCCUUAUACAAAAUACUUUUUCCAUGUCUAUAAUGAACCCCCAAAUUAUCUGGAUACUUACAACAGUGGUAGCAAGGGAAUGUCUCGUUAAUGCAGGUUCUCUAUUCUCCUCAAUUAAUUUCAGGUCCUUAAUUGUGCAUGACAUAUGAAACAUAAAGGGUGUUUAUUUGCUAAUCACCAGCAUUAAUUAAUUCAAAGACUUACCUGAGAUUCUGUUUGCGCAAUAAAAAUUAAAAAGAUUACUCAGUAAUACAUUGGGAGAGGUGUAACUGGGGCAUUAAAAUACGAAUGUGUGUCUAAUUUUCAAACAUCAUAAGUAUUUUGAAAGCACUUAUACAUAAUCAAUUAAUAUAUGUUGUUAACUAAAUUCAUAUGAAUAAUAUGUGAUAUAAAUUAGUGUUUUGUAUUAAUUUCAAGACAAUUAGAAAGAGAAUGUCACCAUCACUCUUUUGAUUCAAUCAACAGUCCUUAGACUGGUUCCUUGUAAUGAAUUUAAUGGGUUAGUAAAAGCUGUGUUAUUUGAAAUU